Molecule: transfer RNA, 76 nt
Filed under: Candidatus Nanoarchaeia archaeon
Lineage: Archaea; Nanobdellati; Nanobdellota; Candidatus Nanoarchaeia
Also listed under: 2 other names
Description: tRNA-Lys
Rfam family: tRNA
About the family: Transfer RNA (tRNA) molecules are approximately 80 nucleotides in length.
Source: RNAcentral
GGGCGGCUAGCUCAAUCGGUAGAGCAGAUGCCUCUUAAGCAUCCGGUUCAGGGUUCGAGUCCCUGGCCGCUCACCA